This is a long non-coding RNA of Syngnathus acus (greater pipefish), 1641 nucleotides long. RefSeq lists it as uncharacterized. The transcript has 3 exons. The record is from RefSeq and is a predicted model, not a curated record. Lineage: Eukaryota; Metazoa; Chordata; Actinopteri; Syngnathiformes; Syngnathidae.
UCGUCGCCAAUUUAUCAGGCUUGCCACCUGCGAUUAUCCUCGGACAGCGCUCUCCCGCGGAGCUCCGCGUCUGUCAAGAUGAGCUACUGGCUAUAUUAGAAACAACCUUGGUCCACUAGAUCUAGCAUCUGUCUCCCAUCAUGCACGGACUUCCUUGCCCGUCCCUAAGCCAUUGUUUCGGCUACCCCUCCGACUCCAACAGCGAGCCAGCUCUUGCUCCAGAAUCUGCAGCAUGUCGAACACACGAGCUGGACCCGGUGACGUCUCAGCCAGAUGCCGAUUCACCUCAGCAGAAAUCUCAAGGGACCAUUGGCUCUUUCUCCACACGAGAAACUAACGGAACUAACUCAACGUGUAACCCUCAGGACAAAGAUGACCUUUGCCUUUCCUCCAGCUCAGAAGGCGAUGAUGAUGAAUUUUGUACUCAUAUCCCCAGACCCUCCAUUAUCGUGAGACACCCCAAGGAAACGGCAUCUGCCAGGACAGCCGACAGAGGAGAGACAGAGGAUGGGCCGUUAUCAGGUAUGGAAAACAAAACCAGCUUCCUCCCAUUUGCUCUUUUGCCUCCCUCAGCUCUGAUAUGAGCUGGAAAAAAAAGUCCCCGGCGUGAUGUUCCUUUGCUGAUGGAAAAACAACUUCGAUUUGACGUGAAGGGGAAAGUAUUCAAGAGGAAAUAACAGGGUGACACACUGGUGACCUCUCUUGCAUGCGAGUUGAGCUGGCAGUUUCCAUGACAAGUGUGCGCUUAAUCCACGGAGUUAAGUGGCGUAUUCAUAAUAAUGUGAUUGACAAUGUGUGGCCAUGCGUGCAAAAUGGAUAUUAAAGCAAACCGACGGGAUGGCGCCAAACAAAGACACGCUUGCCCCAGCUGCUGGCAGCCUCUUGUUGUUGUCUUUUGUUUCAUGGCCUCUUUUGAUAGCAAUAAAUGAGUUUCUCUGUUGGGGGUUAAUAAUUCCUGCAAAAACAACCUGCAGAAACAAUAAAAUGCAAUACAAUAACCCGUUAUUAGUUUUGUACUGGUUUUGUAUGGGCCAGUAGAUAUAGCACACAAGGAUAAGAAAAUGAAGAAUGAAGAAAAUGAAGAAAAUAAAAUCAUCUAAUUAUGAUAUUCUGCCCAGCAAUCAAUUGAAAUCAGCAGCGAGAGCAUUAUAAGACAAUGUGAGUCCAAACAAAUAGCAACAAUAAUUGUCCGCGACAUUGUCUUUGCACAAUAAACUACAUGCACGAUAAACAAAGCUUUAAAUGUGAACAAAUGGGAGGAAGAAAAUGCAGAAUUAUUUUACUAUCUGACCGCUGUGGAUGAGUACCUCUGUGAAAGUGGUUGUAAAUAUGAAUCAAAUACCCCAAUAAUGAUCAGCAGCAUUAUAUCUGAUGGAAAAAAGGCAGAAAGAAUUGGCAGCGGUAUUUACCAUCUGGAUGUGAGUCAUAGAAACUCUGAAUGAAAUGCAGCAAGAAUAGUCAGCAUUUUAUGCGUCAACUGCAUGUGACUAAUAAAAAUGAUAUACGCAGAUGUGAUUGGAAGCUCUACAUGGAUAAAUAAACUGUCAGUUGAUUAGAAUGUGAUCAAAAGGCAGCACGAAAAGACAGCGCCAUUGUUAUGUUAUGUUGUUUCUCUUCUAUUUUAUUGGCGUUAAAAGCAGC